RNAcentral lists this ribosomal RNA (119 nucleotides) under Anolis carolinensis (green anole). Lineage: Eukaryota; Metazoa; Chordata; Lepidosauria; Squamata; Anolidae. The record is from RNAcentral.
UGACAUGGCCUAAAUACACUAAAGGCACCAGAUCCUGUCUGAUCUUGGAAGCUACACAGCACUGGCUCUGGUUAGUGCUUGGAUGGGAGACCACCAAGGAAAACCAGAUGCUAUAUAGG